CCCUGUGAACAUACCAAUUGUUGCCUCGGCGGAUCAGCCCGCUCCCGGUAAAACGGGACGGCCCGCCAGAGGACCCCUAAACUCUGUUUCUAUAUGUAACUUCUGAGUAAAACCAUAAAUAAAUCAAAACUUUCAACAACGGAUCUCUUGGUUCUGGCAUCGAUGAAGAACGCAGCAAAAUGCGAUAAGUAAUGUGAAUUGCAGAAUUCAGUGAAUCAUCGAAUCUUUGAACGCACAUUGCGCCCGCCAGUAUUCUGGCGGGCAUGCCUGUUCGAGCGUCAUUUCAACCCUCAAGCCCCCGGGUUUGGUGUUGGGGAUCGGCGAGCCCUUGCGGCAAGCCGGCCCCGAAAUCUAGUGGCGGUCUCGCUGCAGCUUCCAUUGCGUAGUAGUAAAACCCUCGCAACUGGUACGCGGCGCGGCCAAGCCGUUAAACCCCCAACUUCUGAAUGUUGACCUCGGAUCAGGUAGGAAUACCCGCUG
RNAcentral lists this ribosomal RNA (480 nucleotides) under Fusarium oxysporum. RNAcentral describes it as "eukaryotic LSU rRNA". The stretch from base 128 to 281 matches the Rfam family "5.8S ribosomal RNA". Lineage: Eukaryota; Fungi; Ascomycota; Sordariomycetes; Hypocreales; Nectriaceae. The record is from RNAcentral.